This 253-nucleotide ribosomal RNA is filed under the name uncultured bacterium. RNAcentral's name for it is "partial 16S ribosomal RNA". It matches the Rfam family "Bacterial small subunit ribosomal RNA", at positions 524 to 776 of the family's 1533-position model. The record is from RNAcentral.
UACGGGGGGGGCAAGCGUUGUUCGGAAUUACUGGGCGUAAAGGGCUCGUAGGCGGCCAACUAAGUCCGACGUGAAAUCCCAAGGCUUAACCUUGGAACUGCGUCGGAUACUGGAUGGCUUGAAUUCGGGAGAGGGAUGCGGAAUUCCAGGUGUAGCGGUGAAAUGCGUAGAUAUCUGGAGGAACACCGGUGGCGAAGGCGGCAUCCUGGACCGAGAUUGACGCUGAUGCGCGAAAGCCAGGGGAGCAAACGGG